This 253-nucleotide ribosomal RNA is filed under the name uncultured bacterium. RNAcentral's name for it is "partial 16S ribosomal RNA". It matches the Rfam family "Bacterial small subunit ribosomal RNA", at positions 524 to 777 of the family's 1533-position model. The record is from RNAcentral.
UACGGGGGGGGCAAGCGUUGUUCGGAAUUACUGGGCGUAAAGGCUCGUAGGCGGCCAACUAAGUCGGACGUGAAAUCCCCAGGCUCAACCUGGGAACUGCGUCUGAUACUGGAUGGCUUGAAUCCGGGAGAGGGAUGCAGAAUUCCAGGUGUAGCGGUGAAAUGCGUAGAUAUCUGGAGGAAUACCGGUGGCGAAGGCGGCAUCCUGGACCGGCAUUGACGCUGAGGAGCGAAAGCCAGGGGAGCAAAGCAGG